CUCUCUGGUCAUGCCACCCUGAACAAGCCCAAUCCCAUCUGAUCUCGGAAGCUAAGUAGGGUCGGGCCUCGUUAGUACUUGGAUGGGACCACCUAGAAAGACCAGGUGCUGUAGGCG
RNAcentral lists this ribosomal RNA (117 nucleotides) under Pteropus alecto (black flying fox). The record is from RNAcentral. Lineage: Eukaryota; Metazoa; Chordata; Mammalia; Chiroptera; Pteropodidae.